This 1623-nucleotide long non-coding RNA is filed under the name Gossypium raimondii (Peruvian cotton). RNAcentral describes it as "long non-coding RNA (GRAI_LNC002402)". The record is from RNAcentral. Lineage: Eukaryota; Viridiplantae; Streptophyta; Magnoliopsida; Malvales; Malvaceae.
UUCGAAUGUGUUUGUUAUGUAUUUGUUUAUGAUAAUUUACGUGGCAAGUUGGACAAGAAAGUUAUUUUGUGUAUAUUUGUAAGAUAUAACAGCCAAAGGAAAGGAUGGAGAUGUUGUCAUCCUACAACCAGGAAGUGUUAUGCAUCUCAGAAUGCAGUGUUUGAUGAGUCAUCUUCAUGGUGUCCAUCAGAGAAGGAGGUAUCUCCACAAUCAGAUGCUUUUAGGCAUGAGUGGCAGGAUUCUCAAAUUCACUUUUGUUUGGGAGAAGCUGAGGUUGUUGAUGAUGAAGCUGAAACUCAAAGACCUUGGCGAAUCAGUGUGCAUCUAUGCCCAGUUGAAACUGAUGUACUGCAACAUUUAACCAAAAUUGAUGUGCAUCAACCACUGAAUGGUGAAGAUGAGUAGAAUGAACCAGAAGCAUUAGCUCCACUAAAAAAAUUAGGAAGAGAAAGAAAGCCAAAUCCCAAGUAUGCAAAGGCCAACACUGCUAUAGUCGAAGAAGAUGAGAAGGAACCAAAUAUGUUUAAGGAAACAUUUAAAAGUCUGAAGUGGCUCAAAGCCGUGGAAGAAGAGAUUAUUGCACUAGAAAUAAAUGAAACAUGGGAAUUUGUGUUAAAGCCAAAAGAUGUAAAGUCUAUCUCUUGCAAGUGGAUUUAUAAGACAAAGCAUCGCACAGAUGGAUCAAUUGAGAGGCAUAAGAGUCGUUGGGUGGCUUGAGGAUUUUGUCAGUAGUAUAGACUAGACUAUGAUGAAACAUUUAGUCCGGUGGCGAAGCUUACAACGAUGCGAGUUUAGCUUGCACUUGCAGCCAGUAAAUGCAUGAACUUGUGGCAAAUGGAUGUGAAGAAUGUGUUUCUUCACGAGGAGCUAGACUUGGAGAUUUACAUGAAUCAGCCGAUGGAUUUUUAGAAUUGAGAUUAUCUAGAGUAUGCGUGCAAGCUUCGAAAGGUGCCCUAUGGUUUUAAGCAAGCACUGAGGGCCUAGUAUGGAAAGAUUGCUGAAUUCUUGACUCAUAACAACUAUUCGAUAACGUGUGCAGAUUCAAGCUUGUGCAUUUUUAUAUGAAAGAACUUGGACAACUAAAAAACUUUCUUAGUUUGGAAGUUGAUUGUAGUCAAGAUGGGAUCCUUUUUCAUCAGCAAUAGUAUGCUAAAGACUUGUUGAAAAAUUUUGGAAUAUUGAACUGCAAGCAAAUUUAGUCACACAUGGAACCAAAUGCCAAGAUGUGUGCUCAUAAAGGGAAGGCUUUGGAAAUUGCAACAAUGUAUUGGCAAUUAGUUGGUAGUUUAAUCUAACUUUGACAAAACCUGAUUUUUCUUAUACAAUUGGGGUGAUGAGUUGAUAUAUGCAAAGUCUAAAGAAGCCUCACUUGGAAGUUGUUCGGCGAAUUUUGAGGUAUAUGAAGAGUACUCUUGUGUCACGGGGCUAGACCUUUCGUCUCGCAAUCCGUGCGGCCUUAGGCGAUCCGUUCGUCCAAACUCGCCCAAGUCAGCCUUAACUCAAGUGAGGAUUCUUUUAGAACUCCUCCAAGGUACCAAAUUAAAAAGUGGAAGCGAUUUAUGCCAAAAGAAGCUGAACCAAAGAGCAACAAAAAGAGCGCUCUCAAUUCUCUCAUUCACAAAG